Molecule: long non-coding RNA, 422 nt
Filed under: Marmota marmota marmota (Alpine marmot)
Lineage: Eukaryota; Metazoa; Chordata; Mammalia; Rodentia; Sciuridae
Description: lncRNA (ENSMMMG00000007827.1)
Source: RNAcentral
UGGAGAGUGAACUGAAGGAGACAUUCCAGUGUGGUGUGCAGCUUAUCAGGAAGAGGGAGAGAUCUCUAGCUCCAGCUCCAUCACCAUCCUGAGAACCAGAGGAGCCGUUGCCAGAAACUCCUUCACCACCAGCUCCAGAUCUCAGAUUUGUAAACAGCAGAUAGUUGGUGGGCAUCUGCUUUCUGCCACACUGUGGGGACAGAGGCAGAUGCAGGGCACUGUGCCACAUCACUUCUCACCCCUCCACCAUAUCAGAGACUCCUGGACUCUACCUGAUGUUUUCUGCCAACCUUACCAACUUUCAGAUUGGCCUAACAGUGUCCUUGCCUCCCAUUUCAAGAAACAGAAGACACAUUGUCCCCAUCAUGGCCCAUAAGCCCAGCAGGAUGUGUUCUUCCCCUUCCCCUCCCUCCACAUGCACC